GUGACUCGUUUAGAAAAGAAGCCAAAUGAUACUGACAAAAUGCUUGCCAAUUUGGCAGAUUUUUGACAAAUUGACAUACGGAUGACAUAUUGACAAGGUUGGAAUUUCUGUCAACAGGAGUGCGGGUAACCCGUUACGAGAGGAAACCAAAUGAUACUGACAAGUUGCUUGCUAAUUCGACGGAUUUUUGACAAAUUUUCAUUCGGAUGACGAAUUGACAAAGGGGAUAAGAAGGCUGCAAGAGUUUUUUUCCUGAUAUGCCGAACAAGCUAAUGGUUGGUUUCUUUUUUACCUCAACAGGAUUGCGGGUGACUCGUUUAGAAAGGAAGCCAAAUGAUACUGACAAGUUGCUUGCCAAUUUGACAGAUUUUUGACAAAUUGACAUACGGAUGACAAAUUGACAAAGGGGAUAAGAAGUUCGUGUUUUGUUGUAAAUGACUAUUUUUCCAGCUUUGACAAGUUUUUAUUCAGGGCUGCAGUAGUUUCUUUCCAGAUAUGCCGAACGAGCUAAUGGUUACAACAGUAUUUUCGAAACAUCUGGAUGUUUCGCAAAAUAAUUCAGAAUCGUUUUCAGCUGACUGAGGCAAGCUCAUUUUUCUUUCAGGUUGGUUUCUUUUUUACC
This is a long non-coding RNA of Paramacrobiotus metropolitanus, 622 nucleotides long. RefSeq lists it as uncharacterized. The record is from RefSeq and is a predicted model, not a curated record. Lineage: Eukaryota; Metazoa; Tardigrada; Eutardigrada; Parachela; Macrobiotidae. The transcript has 4 exons.